GGUUAAGCGACUAAGCGUACACGGUGGAUGCCCUGGCAGUCAGAGGCGAUGAAGGACGUGCUAAUCUGCGAAAAGCGUCGGUAAGGUGAUAUGAACCGUUAUAACCGGCGAUGUCCGAAUGGGGAAACCCAGUGCAAUUCGUUGCACUAUCGUUAACUGAAUACAUAGGUUAACGAGGCGAACCGGGGGAACUGAAACAUCUAAGUACCCCGAGGAAAAGAAAUCAACCGAGAUUCCCCCAGUAGCGGCGAGCGAACGGGGAGCAGCCCAGAGUCUGAAUCAGCUUGUGUGUUAGUGGAACGGUCUGGAAAGUCCGACGGUACAGGGUGAUAGUCCCGUACACCAAAAUGCACAGGCUGUGAACUCGAAGAGUAGGGCGGGACACGUGGUAUCCUGUCUGAAUAUGGGGGGACCAUCCUCCAAGGCUAAAUACUCCUGACUGACCGAUAGUGAACCAGUACCGUGAGGGAAAGGCGAAAAGAACCCCGGCGAGGGGAGUGAAAAAGAACCUGAAACCGUGUACGUACAAGCAGUGGGAGCACCUUUAUGGUGUGACUGCGUACCUUUUGUAUAAUGGGUCAGCGACUUAUAUUCUGUAGCAAGGUUAACCGUAUAGGGGAGCCGCAGGGAAACCGAGUCUUAACUGGGCGUUAAGUUGCAGGGUAUAGACCCGAAACCCGGUGAUCUAGCCAUGGGCAGGUUGAAGGUUGGGUAACACUAACUGGAGGACCGAACCGACUAAUGUUGAAAAAUUAGCGGAUGACUUGUGGCUGGGGGUGAAAGGCCAAUCAAACCGGGAGAUAGCUGGUUCUCCCCGAAAGCUAUUUAGGUAGCGCCUCGUGAACUCAUCUUCGGGGGUAGAGCACUGUUUCGGCUAGGGGGUCAUCCCGACUUACCAACCCGAUGCAAACUACGAAUACCGAAGAAUGUUAUCACGGGAGACACACGGCGGGUGCUAACGUCCGUCGUGAAGAGGGAAACAACCCAGACCGCCAGCUAAGGUCCCAAAGUCAUGGUUAAGUGGGAAACGAUGUGGGAAGGCACAGACAGCCAGGAUGUUGGCUUAGAAGCAGCCAUCAUUUAAAGAAAGCGUAAUAGCUCACUGGUCGAGUCGGCCUGCGCGGAAGAUGUAACGGGGCUAAACCAUGCACCGAAGCUGCGGCAGCGACACUAUGUGUUGUUGGGUAGGGGAGCGUUCUGUAAGCCUGCGAAGGUGGCCUGUGAGGGUUGCUGGAGGUAUCAGAAGUGCGAAUGCUGACAUAAGUAACGAUAAAGCGGGUGAAAAGCCCGCUCGCCGGAAGACCAAGGGUUCCUGUCCAACGUUAAUCGGGGCAGGGUGAGUCGACCCCUAAGGCGAGGCCGAAAGGCGUAGUCGAUGGGAAACAGGUUAAUAUUCCUGUACUUGGUGUUACUGCGAAGGGGGGACGGAGAAGGCUAUGUUAGCCGGGCGACGGUUGUCCCGGUUUAAGCAUGUAGGCUGGUUAUCCAGGCAAAUCCGGAUAAUCAAGGCUGAGGUGUGAUGACGAGGCACUACGGUGCUGAAGUAACAAAUGCCCUGCUUCCAGGAAAAGCCUCUAAGCAUCAGGUAACAUCAAAUCGUACCCCAAACCGACACAGGUGGUCAGGUAGAGAAUACCAAGGCGCUUGAGAGAACUCGGGUGAAGGAACUAGGCAAAAUGGUGCCGUAACUUCGGGAGAAGGCACGCUGGUGUGUAGGUGAAGUCCCUGCGGAUGGAGCUGAGACCAGUCGAAGAUACCAGCUGGCUGCAACUGUUUAUUAAAAACACAGCACUGUGCAAACACGAAAGUGGACGUAUACGGUGUGACGCCUGCCCGGUGCCGGAAGGUUAAUUGAUGGGGUUAUCCGUAAGGAGAAGCUCUUGAUCGAAGCCCCGGUAAACGGCGGCCGUAACUAUAACGGUCCUAAGGUAGCGAAAUUCCUUGUCGGGUAAGUUCCGACCUGCACGAAUGGCGUAAUGAUGGCCAGGCUGUCUCCACCCGAGACUCAGUGAAAUUGAACUCGCUGUGAAGAUGCAGUGUACCCGCGGCAAGACGGAAAGACCCCGUGAACCUUUACUAUAGCUUGACACUGAACAUUGAGCCUUGAUGUGUAGGAUAGGUGGGAGGCUUUGAAGCGUGGACGCCAGUCUGCGUGGAGCCAACCUUGAAAUACCACCCUUUAAUGUUUGAUGUUCUAACGUUGGCCCCUGACCGGGGUUGCGGACAGUGUCUGGUGGGUAGUUUGACUGGGGCGGUCUCCUCCCAAAGCGUAACGGAGGAGCACGAAGGUUAGCUAAUCCUGGUCGGACAUCAGGAGGUUAGUGCAAUGGCAUAAGCUAGCUUGACUGCGAGCGUGACGGCGCGAGCAGGUGCGAAAGCAGGUCAUAGUGAUCCGGUGGUUCUGAAUGGAAGGGCCAUCGCUCAACGGAUAAAAGGUACUCCGGGGAUAACAGGCUGAUACCGCCCAAGAGUUCAUAUCGACGGCGGUGUUUGGCACCUCGAUGUCGGCUCAUCACAUCCUGGGGCUGAAGUAGGUCCCAAGGGUAUGGCUGUUCGCCAUUUAAAGUGGUACGCGAGCUGGGUUUAGAACGUCGUGAGACAGUUCGGUCCCUAUCUGCCGUGGGCGCUGGAGAAUUGAGGGGGGCUGCUCCUAGUACGAGAGGACCGGAGUGGACGCAUCACUGGUGUUCGGGUUGUCAUGCCAAUGGCACUGCCCGGUAGCUAAAUGCGGAAGAGAUAAGUGCUGAAAGCAUCUAAGCACGAAACUUGCCCCGAGAUGAGUUCUCCCUGAGACUUUAAGUCUCCUGAAGGAACGUUAAAGACGAUGACGUUGAUAGGCCGGGUGUGUAAGCGCAGCGAUGCGUUGAGCUAACCGGUACUAAUGAACCGUGAGGCUUAACCUU
This 2903-nucleotide ribosomal RNA is filed under the name Klebsiella quasipneumoniae. RNAcentral's name for it is "23S ribosomal RNA". It matches the Rfam family "Bacterial large subunit ribosomal RNA". Lineage: Bacteria; Pseudomonadati; Pseudomonadota; Gammaproteobacteria; Enterobacterales; Enterobacteriaceae. The record is from RNAcentral.